Molecule: RNA transcript, 5351 nt
Organism: Oncorhynchus kisutch (coho salmon)
Lineage: Eukaryota; Metazoa; Chordata; Actinopteri; Salmoniformes; Salmonidae
Gene name: interleukin enhancer-binding factor 3 homolog
Exons: 18
Source: RefSeq, a predicted model, not a curated record
CUUUCAGAAUUUGCUGUUCAGGUAGUCAUUUCUGCUCCUCCGCGAAGAGAGUUGGAGCGAAGCGUUGCAGAAUUGCAGAACCAAGCAGCAGUGUUGGUGUUCUGUCUCAGGAAGGACCUGUUCUUGUAUCACUGCCAUAUACACAGGAUCGAAGACUCUUAAGCAACUAUGCCUCCUCCCCUGCGCCACCGCUCCAUGCGUAUCUUCAUGAACGACGACCGCCACGUGAUGGCCAAGCACUCCGCUGUGUACCCCACACAGGAGGAGCUGGAGGGUGUGCAGAACAUGGUGUCCCACACCGAGCGUGCCCUCAAGGCUGUCUCCGACUGGCUGGACGAGCAGGAGAAGGUGGUCAAGUCUGAGCCAGACGGAACCGAGUCCGAUAAAGAAAGUGAGCCCAAGGUGUCGGAACAGGCCACACGGUCCCUGCGUGGGGUGAUGAGGGUGGGCCUGGUUGCCAAGGGCUUGCUGCUGAAGGGGGACCUAGACCUGGAGCUGGUGCUUUUGUGCAAGGACAAACCCACCAUCACCCUGCUGAAGAAUGUGGCAGACAACCUGGCUGUGCAACUCAAGACCAUCACAGAGGACAAGUAUGAGGUCACUCAGGUCAUCCGUGAAGCCACCAUCGUGAUCAAGAGCACCAAGGAGCCUCCCCUGACCCUGACUAUCAACAUGACGUCCCCCCUGGUCCGUGAGGAGGUGGAGAAACAGGCUGCCGGAGAAACGCUAUCAGUCAACGAUCCCCCGGAUGUUCUGGACAGGCAGAAAUGCCUUACUGCCUUGGCGUCUCUUCGCCACGCCAAGUGGUUCCAGGCCAGGGCCAAUGGGCUGAGGUCCUGCGUCAUCGUCAUCCGUAUCCUGAGGGACUUGUGCUCCCGCGUCCCCACUUGGGCCCCACUGCAUGGAUGGCCAAUAGAGCUGCUGUGUGAGAAGGCAAUUGGCACAGGGAACCGGCCAAUGGGGGCAGGAGAGGCUCUGCGAAGAGUUUUGGAGUGUCUGGCUUCUGGAAUCCUCAUGGCUGAUGGUGCUGGAAUCUGUGAUCCAUGUGAGAAGGAUCUGACAGAUGCUAUUGGCCACCUGGACCUCCAGCAGAGGGAGGACCUCACAAAGAGUGCCCAGCAUGCCUUAAGGCUGUCUGCCUUCGGACAGCUUCACAAAGUGCUAGGGAUGGACCCCCUUCCCUCCAAAAUGCCCCGGAAACCCAGGAGCGAGACCCCAAUUGACUAUACAGUCCAAAUCCCCCCCAGUACAACCUACGCCCCACCAAUGAAGAGGCCCAUCGAGGAGGAGGAAGGAGGGGAGGACAAAAGUCCAAACAAGAAGAAAAAGAAGUUGCAAAAGAAAUCCCCAGAUGAGAAGUCGGAGCCUCCCCAGGCCAUGAAUGCUCUGAUGAGGCUGAACCAGCUGAAGCCUGGCCUGCAGUAUAAACUCCUCUCCCAAACUGGCCCGGUGCACGUACCAGUCUUCACCAUGGCUGUUGAGGUGGACAGCAAGAGCUUUGAAGCCUCAGGCCCAUCCAAACGCACUGCCAAGCUUCACGUUGCUGUCAAGGUCCUCCAGGACAUGGGCCUCCCCACAGGUGUGGAGCUGAAGACUGCUGAGCCAGUGAAGACUGAGGUGGCAACGGCCAUUGUGGAGGUGGUGAAACCCUGCAUCACACCCAUCGCAAUGGACACUGCAGCCACAGGGGCGGACAGCGUGGAGGCCACAGACGGUGCAGAGAGUGCUCGUCAACAGGGACCAAUCCUGACCAAACAUGGGAAGAACCCUGUGAUGGAGCUAAACGAGAAGCGGCGCGGCCUCAAGUAUGAGCUUAUCUCAGAGACCGGAGGCAGCCACGACAAACGCUUCGUCAUGGAGGUGGAGAUAGACGAACAGAAGUUCCAAGGGACUGGCUCCAAUAAGAAGGUGGCCAAGGCCUAUGCUGCCUUGGCAGCCCUGGACAAACUCUUCCCAGAGGGCUCUGUGACUGAGGCAGCCAAGAAGAAGAAACUCCCAAUGCAUGGGUUUGGCAUGAUGGGUGACCCGACUGGUGACCCGGCAGCCACUCCCAGGGGCAGAGGUAGAGGGCGUGGCAGGGGGAGGGGCCGAGGGUUCAAUAAUGGUGGCAGCUACGGACAAGGUAAAACAGAGCUAUAUGCUACCUACAGUGCCCUCAAAGUAUUCACACCCCUUUAUUUUCUCCAUGUUUUGUUACAGCCUGAAUUUAAAAUUUAUUAAAUGUAUAGUUUGUCAUUGGCCAACACACAUUACCUCAAUGUCACAUUUUUGAAUGUCUACCCCACAUAUACAAUUAUUUGUUAGGUUCCUAAGUUGCGCAGUGAAUUUCAACCACAAAGACCAGGGAGGUUUUCCAAUGCCUUGCAAAGAAGGGCACAUAUUGGUAGAUGGGUAUAAAAAUUAUUUCAAAAAGUAAUCCCUUUGAGCAUGGUGAAGUUACUAAUUACACUUUGGAUGGUGUAGCAAUACACCCAGUCACUACAAAGAUAAAGGCGUCCUUCCCAACUCAGUUGCCGGAGAGGAGGGAAACCGCUCAGAGAUUUCAGAGGCCAAUGGUGACUUUAAAACGGGUACAGAGUUUAAUGGCUGUGAUUGGAGUAACUGAGGAUGGAUCAACAUUAGUUACUCCACAAUACUAACCUAAUUGACAGUGAAAAGGAAGCUUGUACAGAGUAAAAAAUAUUCCAAAAGAUGCAUCCUGUUUGCAACAAGGCACUAAACUAAUAUAUUUUGCGACGCGCACGCGACGUGACCGGUCUGGUCAACGUGUAACAAAUGACCAACAACCAACUUGACAAAGCUUGAAGAAUUUAAAAAAGAAUGCAAAUAUUAUACAAUCCAUGUGUGUAAAGCUCUUGGACCUAACCAGAAAGACUCACAGCUGUAAUCGCUGCCAAAUGUGAUUCUAACAUGUAUAGACCCAGGGGAGUGUAUAUUUUUUGGGUCUACGAACAUGUUUUUCUUUUGUCAUUAUGUGUGAUUGUGUAGGUUGUCAGGUCAGAAAAAAAAAAUCUAUUUUGAAUUCAGGCUCUAAUAAAAGAACAUUUGGGAUAAGUCAUGGGAUGGGGUAUGAGUACUUUCUGAAGGUAUUAUUUGCAAUUAUUGUGUGUUCUGUACCUGAAUUGACUUUAUGCUGUAAAUACUGUUCUUCAAUAUAUUAAAUGGUAGGAAACAUCUCACGUCAGCUGAGAAAUGUAAUGGUUGGUUUCCUUAACUCCUCAGGUGGCUAUGGAAGUUAUGGAUAUGGGAACAAUGGAAACUCUGGAGGCUAUAGUGACUUUGUCUCAGACUGCUAUGGCUACCACGAAUUUGCUACAUAGAUCAUCCCAAUCUUUUAAAUCAAAACAAAAUGUAGAGAAAGAGGAGAAAACUAGUGUUCCCGCAACAUGAACUCCAAUCACUCCCCUGGGAGAAAAACGGUCCCUUACCUGCUACGACUCAUGUCCCAACGCCUAGAGAGAUGGGAGGCCAGUGAGUGCUUGUUGCAUUUGGUCACCUUCCAUACCCUCUGCCAACCCUGGGAUGUACCUGGACACCUGGAUAUGCCAAAAGCCACAGGCACACUUUUCCAAUAGACUGCCUUCCUUCGUGGAAUUGAGACCAGAGCAUUAUGGUUGGCUGAUGGAUAAUGGCCCACUGUGAUGACAUGCACCUUGGAGUGGGUCAGACUGGGGAGAUUGAUCCCAUUGUGGCCAUCUGUCUUGAAUGUCUAGGAAAAAAGUUACAUUUCUUAUGAUGUGAAUGGUCUUAUUUCAUUUUAUUGUCUGAACAUGUAUUAUCAAUCACCUCAUUGUCACACUUUUUUUGCCUUUUGUUAUGGGAUCAUAAGGCUGCUUUGAAUAUUUGCAGUUUUUUAUUCAAAUGUCAGAAUUGCUAAAUCAUGGCGGUUACAUGCUAGUCUUAUCUUAAAUGACAAUAUUCACAAUGCCCCCCAUUUACCUCACAUGUGAGGCACCGUUAGGUGUGAAAAAACCACGGUGUUGAUACUUGCACAAGACUGAUUUUUGACAUUCUGCAUUAUGAUUGUGAAGUAAAAAAUAAAGUCUUGUAUGUUUUUAAAAAAUAAAUGUGAUAUCCCAUUCAAUAAUGUGGUACUACAAUUUUAGUAAAACGCUUCACUUUCUUGAAGAUGCAAUGUAUUAUUCUUGGUGUCUUUACAAGCAUGGGUGUGACAGUAGUAGAACUCUCUACAAAACCCCCUCUUAAUCUAAUGCUUCUUUCUUUUAGAUUAUUACAAUAGUGGAGCAAAUGGUGGAGCUGCGGCUGCUGGCACCGUUACUGAAGUCCCUGCGGCCAGCACUACAGGCGUGACAGCUACAGGAACCUAUGGUUCAUACUACCAGAAUGAUGGAGGCUACUCCAGCCCUUCUCCAGCCCCCAAAGCCUCUGUCAAAAAGGAGGCCAAGUCAACCUUCCCUGGACCACCAGGAGUUGGUGGAGGGGCCCAAGGGGCCUACCAGACCACCCCUGGCCAGAGUGCCUAUAACCAGUAUGGCCAGGGCUAUGGGCAAGGCAAUAAGACCUUCAAUCAAAACCAGGCAGGAGCAGGAGUUUAUCCUUACAGCACUGCCUACCCCAGCCAGGUGACGGGCAGCGCUGUUGCCAGCCAAGACUACAGUUACGACGGUUACGGAAAUCAGUCAAAUUACAACGCACAGGCAGAAGCCAACCAGAGCUAUGGUGCAAAUCCAGCUCCAUACCACAACCCAGUAGGAUACGGCAGGGGAGACCCCACCAUGAACUACCAGUACAGAUAGACUGACUCCGUGAUGGUGGCUAUCCUGGUUUUUCCAUGUCUGCGUGCAUUUGGUUAUUUUUUUUUACUUUAAAGAAAAAAACUGGACUUAUUAGUUGGCAGCUCCCCACGGCUGAAUCAAAUAGUCUAUUUCAUCAGUUUGGUCAGUGUUCAAGCUUGUAUUUUCUUUGUAUGCACUCCACCAAUUUCCCCUCCCCACCAUCACUACCACUCAAAAAGAGGGAAUGACAUCUUUUUUUAUUUCUUUUUUUACCACCAGUUCUGAUUUUAUUUCUGUCCAUACACAAGUUAACUAUGUUUUGGGCUGAGGAUUUGUUUAAAUUUUCAUUUCACAUUACAAUGGGUCUGGAGAACUGCUUGUUUGUUGAAGUAUUUGUUUGUAAUUUUAGACAUUUAUUUUUGAAUGUUUUACUUGAUGUAUUUCUGUAGUUUUAAUUUUAACAAAUAAUUUUGGAAGUUUACUAGAAAUACAUUUUAAAUGUCAAUCACAUUUCUGGUCAAAGUAGAUUUGGUGGUUGGGAUUAUUUCAUUUUUUCUCAGAACAGUAUAUAAGAAAGUGGUGUUUGUAUCAAUAAAGGACUUAUUUUGGAGCAAA